UGCGGUGACGAUACGAUGCUGGAAACACCUAUUCCCAUCCCGAACAUAGCAGUUAAGCAGCAUUGGGUUAUCAUUGGAUAAUAUCGCCGCGC
RNAcentral lists this ribosomal RNA (92 nucleotides) under Mycoplasmoides fastidiosum. The record is from RNAcentral. Lineage: Bacteria; Bacillati; Mycoplasmatota; Mycoplasmoidales; Mycoplasmoidaceae.